RNAcentral lists this ribosomal RNA (254 nucleotides) under uncultured bacterium. Its description in RNAcentral is "partial 16S ribosomal RNA". It matches the Rfam family "Bacterial small subunit ribosomal RNA", at positions 524 to 776 of the family's 1533-position model. The record is from RNAcentral.
GACGUAGGGUGCGAGCGUUGUCCGGAAUUAUUGGGCGUAAAGAGCUCGUAGGCGGUGUGUCGCGUCGGCCGUGAAAACCUGCAGCUUAACUGUGGGCUUGCGGUCGAUACGGGCAUCACUGGAGUUCGGCAGGGGAGACUGGAAUUCCUGGUGUAGCGGUGAAAUGCGCAGAUAUCAGGAGGAACACCGGUGGCGAAGGCGGGUCUCUGGGCCGUAACUGACGCUGAGGAGCGAAAGCGUGGGGAGCGAACAGG